This 459-nucleotide ribosomal RNA is filed under the name uncultured bacterium. RNAcentral describes it as "partial 16S ribosomal RNA". It matches the Rfam family "Bacterial small subunit ribosomal RNA", at positions 338 to 795 of the family's 1533-position model. The record is from RNAcentral.
CCUACGGGAGGCAGCAGUGAGGAAUAUUGGUCAAUGGCCGGGAGGCUGAACCAGCCAAGUCGCGUGAGGGAAGACGGCCCUACGGGUUGUAAACCUCUUUUGUCAGGGAGCAAGGUGCAGGUCGGGACCUGCUGUGAGAGUACCUGAAGAAAAAGCAUCGGCUAACUCCGUGCCAGCAGCCGCGGUAAUACGGAGGAUGCGAGCGUUAUCCGGGUUUAUUGGGGUAAAGGGGUGCGCAGGCGGAGGCACAAGUCAGCGGUAAAAUCGCGGGGCUCAACCCCGCUCCGCCGUUGAAACUGUGGCCCUUGAGUGCGCGAAGGGUAGGCGGAAUGCGUGGUGUAGCGGUGAAAUGCAUAGAUAUCACGCAGAACUCCGAUCGCGAAGGCAGCCUACCGGCGCGCAACUGACGCUCAUGCACGAAAGCGUGGGUAUCGAACAGGAUUAGAUACCCCAGUAGUC